AGCUCAGCUUGGAAAUUUCCUCUGGGCUUGAAUUGUAGUCUUUCGAUGCAUUGCCAGCGGAGGCGCAGAUGUAAGCCUCUUGGAAAAGAGCAUCAAUGAGGGUGAGAGUCCCAUUUGUCAUCUGCAGUCCNCUGUUUACGGUGUGCUUUCUAAGAGUCACGUUCCUUGGGAUUGGAGCGCNAAUUGGGUGGNAAAUUUCAUCUAAAGCUAAAUAUUGGUUCGAGACCGAUAGCAAACAAGUACC
Molecule: ribosomal RNA, 244 nt
Filed under: Gymnodinium sp.
Lineage: Eukaryota; Dinophyceae; Gymnodiniales; Gymnodiniaceae
Rfam family: Eukaryotic large subunit ribosomal RNA
Source: RNAcentral